Microcebus murinus (gray mouse lemur) is the source of this 444-nucleotide non-coding RNA. The record is from RefSeq and is a predicted model, not a curated record. NCBI's taxonomy places the organism in Eukaryota, Metazoa, Chordata, Mammalia, Primates, Cheirogaleidae.
CAUGUGUCUUAAAAGAUCCAAAGUACAUAAUAUCAUCGAUAUGAUGGAGCAGCAUGUUUUCUAGGUAAUGUAGAGAUGCUUAAGAUUCAUGGAGAACAGAUUGUGACAGUGGAAGGAAGAGUUGAUAUAUUCCUGAGGUGAUGGUCUUCUAUCCUUUUGAAGUUGGCAGCAUUUAAACACUACAUUAUAAAAUAAGGACUUCAGUAUAAGAGAAGUAUUUUAACUAACAGGUUGUGUAAUCUACUAGACAACAUUGCUUGGUGACAUGACCAGAAGUGUUCAAAAGAGAUUCCUACAAACUUUGCCAGUGCUCUCUGGAAACCAAAUCCAUCGAACAAAUGUUUUUUAUUCAUACUCUGAAGACAAAAAACAUCAGAUAGAAUAAGAUGGUGCCCUGGAGAGCUGUAACUGGAAGUCAUUCAGGUUUGCCAUGGUAUACUUUUU